AGUGUCCGGAGGGUGAACGCUGGUUCUGGAGUGAGUCCGGAUCGGGGCGAGUGUGUAAGAGGGGAAGUUUGGACCUUACAGCCCUGAACCGCUCAAAUGCAUGGGCCCCAGGGCCACAGAGGGCUGCGUGUGUGAGGAGGGCCAGUGUGUGAUUCCAGCACUGUGUCAGUGUGAAGAGGAAGACGGGACGCUUCGAGAGGGCGAAGGGAAGGUGCUGGAAGCGGAGAGCUGCUGUCCCGUGUGCCACAGAGAGUAUCCAGAGGAUCCGGUUGCUGAGUGCCUCCUUACUCUGAGGUCAGAAACAUCACCAAGGGCGACUGUCGCCUGGACAACGUGGGGGUCAGCUUCUGCAGAGGGCGCUGUUUGUCCCGGACCGAUGUCAGUCUGGAGGUGCGUCCUGAUCUCUGAUCUGUGAAGUGCUGCUUGAACUUUCACAAGUUAUUAAAGUGCAGCCAUCUCAGACAUCAGUCUGAAUUUUUAUCUUCUUACAAUUUAUUCACUUUAUAGAUUCUGGAUACAUUAUGUAUUUUUUAAAUUUUGCCUAAUUCUGGUAGUGUAUAAUGUACAGUGUUAUAUCAAUUACUAUACACCGCAAGAUUAAUACUGUUCACCAUAAAACAUAAUAUAGAUCAUCAGUGGUAUACUAAAUGAUAUAAGGAAAUAUUGUAUUGGAUUUUUAUUAUUCAU
This is a long non-coding RNA of Cyprinus carpio (common carp), 687 nucleotides long. Lineage: Eukaryota; Metazoa; Chordata; Actinopteri; Cypriniformes; Cyprinidae. The record is from Ensembl.